RNAcentral lists this ribosomal RNA (501 nucleotides) under uncultured Glomeromycotina. RNAcentral describes it as "partial small subunit ribosomal RNA". It matches the Rfam family "Eukaryotic small subunit ribosomal RNA", at positions 591 to 1092 of the family's 1831-position model. Lineage: Eukaryota; Fungi; Glomeromycota. The record is from RNAcentral.
CCAAUAGCGUAUAUUAAAGUUGUUGCAGUUAAAAAGCUCGUAGUUGAAUUUCGGGAUCAAUAUAACGGUCAUGCCGUUGGUGUGCACUGUUAUAAUUGAUUUCUCACCUUCUAAAGAACCGUGAUGCCAUUAAUUUGGUGUCACGGGGAAUUAGGACUGUUACCUUGAAAAAAUUAGAGUGUUUAAAGCAGGCUCACGCUUGAAUACAUUAGCAUGGAAUAAUGAAAUAGGACAUCCGAUUCUAUUUUGUUGGUUUCUAGGAUCGAUGUAAUGAUUAAUAGGGAUAGUUGGGGGCAUUAGUAUUCAAUUGUCAGAGGUGAAAUUCUUGGAUUUAUUGAAGACUAACUACUGCGAAAGCAUUUGCCAAGGAUGUUUUCAUUAAUCAAGAACGAAAGUUAGGGGAUCGAAGACGAUCAGAUACCGUCGUAGUCUUAACCAUAAACUAUGCCGACUAGGGAUCGGAUGAUGUUAAUUUUAUAAUGACGCGUUCGGCACCUUACG